CACGAACUGUGGUAUGAGGUUUUUAAAAUAUCAUUUUUCAUCACUCAAUCCUUUUCUUCAGCGAUUUGAAUCUCCCGUUUUGUCUAGAACACUGAUCUGAGUGCUUCUCAAUUUGAAUCAUUUGCUUAUUUCUUUCUCCUUUUCCUUGUAUAUUUGCAGAUGCGGCAUGUACCCUGACUUGGGGUCCUCAGAGAAAGCUACCACAGCUGCAACCAUCAUCAUCACCGGGGUUGCACCAGCGAAGAUGUACUCUGAGGGAUCGGAGAUGAGCCUGGAAGGAGGGAAAGGCUGCAAGUGCGGAAAUAACUGCAACUGCGAUCCAUGCAACUGCUAAGGCGAAUCAAUAAGAAGAUGGGAACGGUGCCUCAAGUAUCUAUGGUCUAUAUAAAUAA
Vitis riparia (riverbank grape) is the source of this 392-nucleotide long non-coding RNA. RefSeq lists it as uncharacterized. The record is from RefSeq and is a predicted model, not a curated record. The transcript is spliced from 2 exons. NCBI's taxonomy places the organism in Eukaryota, Viridiplantae, Streptophyta, Magnoliopsida, Vitales, Vitaceae.